UGAGGCCAGGGGUUCAAGACCAGCCUGGGCAACAUAGCAAGAUCCCAUCUCUAAAAAAUGUUUAAAAAAACUUAGCCAGAUGUGGUGGUUCACACCUGUAUUCCCAGCCACUCAGGAAGCUGAGGCUCAGAAUAUCAGGCUGCAGUGAGCCAUGAUCGUGCCACUGCAUGAACCCCAGCCUGGCUGACAGAGUGAGACCCUGUUUCAAAAAAAAAGAAAAUGCCAUCCGCAGUGCUGGGACCUGCGUUCUUACCUCACCUGGGUUGCACAUCUCUCCUUGGCCAGCAUGCACGCUUUUACAUGCACUGCUGCUGUCUUCAGCAUCUGCACGGUACAUUUCACUGCCGCUUACUCAGCUGUCCCCUGAGGCUGGACAUUUAAUUUGUGUCUGGCUUGUCGUUGUUAUCAGCGCCACUGUGACACACAUCCUCAGUUACUUCUGAGUUGUGGGCUUGCCAUGCGGGAGGUUGCCAUGCGGGAGGUUGCCACUAGGGAGAGUGGGCUGUGUUGUACGCUUUGGUGGCCCACUCCCCAGUCUCUCCACCUCCCCCAGCAGCAAAUGAGCCAGCCCCAGUCCCUGUGCCCCAACCUCCAGGGUUAACCCCUGGGUGUGCAUUUGUUUAUUCUGAAUCUUAUCAUUUAUCGCCCACCAGACUGACUUGGCCAUCUCUGGCCUCGAAGGGUCUCCCUCAGCGAGAGGUGUCCUUCCUGAGCUGUCGCUCCAUCCUGAGCAAGGCCUUCGCCCUGGGAGCUUAGUAAUGUCAACCUUGUUCUAAACAGGACCUGGGGCUACACUUCAGUCUUCCAGAUAUCGAAAGAUGGUUCUAAGAGGCUCUAAAAACCCUAAUUUUCAGAUGGACAGUGCCCUCUUCUUUCAGCCUCAGCCUCUUGUGUGAUAGGCUCUUCCAUUACGUGAAGGUUUUGUCAGCCUAGGAGUAGGGUGGAUCACAGCUCAUUGGCUGGAUCUGGUUGCAGAAUUGUAGGGUGGGAGUGGACGUUGGGGAGAGGCGGGCAUAGGGGAAUGGGCCUGUGAUGUCACCGUUUCGCCCGACAGGGCUCUGAGUGUGAGCAGUGUGCUCCCCUGUGCUGCUGGAGA
RNAcentral lists this long non-coding RNA (1096 nucleotides) under Homo sapiens (human). RNAcentral describes it as "HSALNT0226227". Lineage: Eukaryota; Metazoa; Chordata; Mammalia; Primates; Hominidae. The record is from RNAcentral.